Long non-coding RNA from Marmota flaviventris (yellow-bellied marmot), 2694 nucleotides. RefSeq lists it as uncharacterized. The record is from RefSeq and is a predicted model, not a curated record. NCBI's taxonomy places the organism in Eukaryota, Metazoa, Chordata, Mammalia, Rodentia, Sciuridae.
CCACCACUGAGCCCCCAGCCCCUCAAAGAUGCUUUUUAAGGAAACAAAUGAACAAGAAGAGAACCACCUUUGAGAGUGAAUGCAGAGCAUGGCGGGUGCAGAGCGCUUUGAGGGCAAGCCUCCCCAUUCAUGGGCACCAGCAGUGAGAAGCGGGGCUGGGGCUGCUGCAGAGAUCAGCUGACAAGAACAGGCAGCAGUGGCAGCAUGUGUUGCUUGGUCAGUUCUCCAGAAGGAACUGCUCCACUUUAGGGUGAAUCUGUUACCUUGACUGCUCUUGGAGCUCCUACUACCCUCGGACACCUUGUUACAGCGUUUGUCAAAGAGAAGUUCUCAUCAGCUCUCCAGGGCAGAAACUGCUGUUGCAAAACUCUUGCUCCAUGUGAAGGCAACAGGAUGCAACUCUGGUGACCCCGAGAGGCCAUCCACGAGCUCUGGUCAGAGCCACAGAAUUGCACAAUGACUGCAGAGGCUAUGUAAGGCAGAGCAGAUGGGGACAGCAUGGACACCUGUCUGGGGCACUCAGUGUGCCCUAGAACCAGGGAAGUGCAGCUGAUUGCCUUGUCAUAAAGUGGGGCCCACGCUUCUGAAACAGUGUUCUCAGAAACGCCACAAUUAGUGAAUGACAUACCCAUUGCAUAAGACUUCUUGGAUAGUACAGGGGAAAUGAUCUUACCCAGAGGUCAACCUGUCCACUGCCUUCAUCAAAGUCUGGCUGGGUGAGAAUGGCACAGUCCCCUGGACUCAGUCCCUCCUUCCAGGCACUAUUAGCUAGGGGCCCAUCAAGUCUCCAUACUGUUGACAGCAAGUGACAGAGAGCUGCAUGCCUGCACAGCUGCUUAGAGGAACCUUAUUUGUAAUAGUCUCAAGUUGGAAACCACUCCAGCGUGAAGCAACAGGGAUUUCUGAUGCCUGACCUCCCUGGACCCUCAACUCCAAGUGGCAGAUUCUCCUGAUGGCUCAUGUCCCCUUCUUGCUCUGCUUGUCCUGCCACAGUGAUGGCAGAGGAAGGGUGCAGAGGGGACUGUGGGCUGGUGGAAAGUGGACUGUCCCAGAGGAAGGAGUCUGUGUCCUUCCCGGUACCUGCAGGGAUACCGCCGGGACAGCCUGCUGAAGACCUUGCCGCAGCCAACGCAGACGGCGGGCACCACGGAGGAGAGCUGCUGCAGCCUCUGCCACUGGCGGUCCUUCUCACUGAUGGACAGGGACAGGGCGGAGGCAGAGGCAGACAGAGAGACAGGAAGGAGGAGAUGACCCGGAUGGAGGGACAGAGAGGGGCAGAAAGAGGAACAUGGAGGCAAAGAAGGAGGAAGAGGGGGAUGGAGAGGGUGACAGAGGCAGGUGUACCCAGGUACACAGAAAGACAAAGUGAGAUGGGGACAAGGGGCAGGGGGACAGAAAUGAAGAGGGAAGUGGAUGAUGGGAGACAUCCAGAGAGAGAAAGGACGUUGGAGAGUUGGAGAGGGGACGGAUGCACAGAGAAGGAGAGAGACACAAAUGUAGAGGGAGAGAAAGACAGAGGACACAGAUGCAGGCACACACGGAGACAAACGGUGAUGGGGAGAAGUGAACAGGAGUGAGACACACCAGAGCUGGGUUAGUUCAUUCUUGGAGAAUCUGGAUGGUGACACCCAGCUCCCGGCUCCCAGCAGAACGUGACCCAGACCAAGAACCCCUUCACCUCCUCCCAGUGCACCCCUUGGUCACAGAAGCCCCUGUGGUCCUGGCUCCAGGUGCCUACAGCAUUUAAGGCCCACUUCACCUUUUAUCUGGCACUUGAAACAAACUGGCAUAUAUUUAUCUGUGUCUGCCCUUGCAAAACUAUCUUCACUGUUUUGUUUUUUUUUUAAAGGAUGUUUAGAAAUAUCAGUUGUUUUAAAAUUUUGUCAAAAUAAUACAUAUACACAUUUUAAAACUCAAAUAGCACAGAGGGCACAUAUUAAAAGACACUGGCACCUCCCCCUCCUUUCUGUUUUCAGUGGAAACUCAUUCUUGCAGGUUUUUUUUUUUUCUUUUUGGUAUUAACUUCCAUAUCUCCCUCCUUCAGUAGAGAAUAGUUGUUCUGGGGCCCUUCCCUUGACAGCAGAGCAUUUAGCUUAUUUAUUACCAUCCUUGCCAGUUUCUCUUCCUUCUUCCAAUGGAGUUAUAUCCCUAUUUUUGGUUCCUCUGUUGGUUACCAUUAGAAGUUUCCAGAAUGUACUCAUAUUUUUUUCUCAUUCUAUCUAUGACUCCCGUUCGGUAAUAUGAUAUUGCCCUUAUCCCUUCCCUCAUCUCUUCUCCUUCCUUCUCCUCCUAACUUGUCUUCUAUUCCUGAAACAUACAAUAUGGUAGCCACUUGCCACAUGUGUCUAACUGAGUUAAAAUUAAAUAAAAUGAAAACCUUCAUUCCUGUGUUGCACCGGAUCAAUAUUUUAGGUGCCCCAUCUCAACAUGUGAUCUGUGGCUACCACGGAGUCAACACAAAUAUCAAACAUUUUGUCUUCACAGAACCUUUAUUGGAUUCUCCUGUAUACUUAAUGUUGUUAAGGUGAUAACAUUCAUGUUUUGUUUCUAUAAUUGUCUCCUGUGCUUUGUCUUUAAUUUGAUUCUAAGGUUGAAAAAAAGAUAAAGAAUUGCGUUUACAUUAUUAGAUAAUAUAUAUACAUAUUAUGUCCCAAAGAAUUGUAUUCUAUAAUUUAUAAGUUGUGUUCUAUCAUU